AUUUAAGUAGUUUAAAAAAAACAUUGAUUUGUGGCGUCAAAAUUAUAAAGUUUUUAUCUUAGAUA
RNAcentral lists this transfer RNA (65 nucleotides) under Birmella discoidalisa. Its description in RNAcentral is "tRNA-His". The record is from RNAcentral. Lineage: Eukaryota; Metazoa; Arthropoda; Insecta; Hymenoptera; Tenthredinidae.